AGCUACUGUAUUUGGUAUUGGUCAUAUUUGUCAAAUAAGCAAAUAAGGCCAAUAUUUGUCAAACAUACCGUUACACAUGGUGAAUGUUUGGCGAAUACAUCAAAUACGCAAAUACAAAUAGCCAUGUGAAGUGCCUCCA
This is a long non-coding RNA of Aricia agestis (brown argus), 139 nucleotides long. RefSeq lists it as uncharacterized. The transcript is spliced from 3 exons. NCBI's taxonomy places the organism in Eukaryota, Metazoa, Arthropoda, Insecta, Lepidoptera, Lycaenidae. The record is from RefSeq and is a predicted model, not a curated record.